GUUCUUUUAGUCUAACGUAUGGUUUAAUACCUAGAAUGAUAUUGCCUUUAAGGGCAAAGGUACGGGUUCAAAUCCCGUAAGGAACU
This 86-nucleotide transfer RNA is filed under the name Ectocarpus siliculosus. RNAcentral's name for it is "tRNA-Ser(AGA)". It matches the Rfam family "tRNA". From Rfam's summary of the family: Transfer RNA (tRNA) molecules are approximately 80 nucleotides in length. Their secondary structure includes four short double-helical elements and three loops (D, anti-codon, and T loops). Lineage: Eukaryota; Phaeophyceae; Ectocarpales; Ectocarpaceae. The record is from RNAcentral.